AUGGGUAGACGGGCAGCUGAUCACACCACUCCAGUGCCAGUUCUUGGAGAACCUGCACUUGUUGGGACACGCAUCUGGAGGACCGUGGCAAAUGGGACCAAUAGUAUGGCAACCCUCACACUGUCUCAUCACUGUAACGUCGGUGUGCAGACGUCACCUGCAAUGAAAAACAACCAACUACAGCUAAACGGCAAACAUGUGGAUACUUGUAGCAGUCAAUCAGAAAACAAAGUGAUCAUGCCACCUAACGGCCACAUCCCAAACGAGGCUGGUAAACAGGAGGAUAACGGAAAAGAAAAAACUAAAAGUAUCAUUUAUAAACGAAAAAGUCUGGAGACUAAAAUGAAAAAGGGUGUGACUUUUGAGGGACUGGAGAGGGAUAUUUGUAAAAACAUCAGGGAAGAAGUCCAGUGCCAUAAUUGUCCAAUCAGAACCAGUCCUCCGUUGAGAGGUGUGGCUAACAACAGGUUAAAACCGAGAAGGAAUUGUCACUUCACCAAUGGGAGUGUGGUUGACUCUGAGGUAAUGGGUGGGAUCAGCAGUGACAUCAGUGAAGGGGUGGAGUCUACCACCGGAAAGAAAAAAACAUUACCUCCUCGCUCACCUCCUCACAGACCUCCUGUGACCAUCUGCAGCACUUGUGGGGGAAGACAGAAUCCAACACCUCCUGGACUUUACAGCCAAAUAAGGAUGUUUACACCGCCAACUUCCGCAGGUUCUCUGGGACUCCAGUCAAGACAUUCAUCCCCUCUUUACCCUGGGAAGGACGUGCAGGAAUACACGCAGAUAGAAAGGCACACCGACCGCAGUGCUACACAGUCAGACCAGCACCUCAUGAGCCCUAACCUUCAUUCUUAUCUCAAUAUGAAUAUAAACAAGGAAUGGCCAUUAUCUCUGCUGCCUGCUCAGCAGAGUGAGGCAUCAAACCUCACUAAUCAUCACGCAGUCAAGAGGGAAUCUAGCGCUGACACACACAUUAAUCAUAUCAGUCGCUCAUCGGCUCUAAAUACACGCACGCUCACUGUUACCGUGAAAGAGGAUAGAGCCUCAACAAAGGUCAUAAACACACACUUGAACGCUCACAAACCUCACAACUCUUGUCCCUGCAGACCUCCUGUGACUGUCAACCCUCCCCAAACACACAAAAACAGCCUGUCAGAGAAGCUAGAAGCCACACAGGUGACAAAUACCAGAAUACCACACACAAACACUCACUUUAGAUCAUCUCACCAGCCAAACCCUGAUGAGAAACGACCAACUCAAAGAAACCAAGUCGCAACUACACACUCAGAGUCCCCCCAGCCCCAAAAUAAAAUACACAUCAAACCUUUGCAAACUACUUUGAAACAACAAAUGUUCCCCCAAACUAGCACACUGCAGAACUCCAAUGCACUUUCAAAAUGCUCACGGUUAAAUCAGACAAGCACACUUUCGAAAUCCCCUGCCUGUUUUCAUUUGCAUUCAAAUGUUAAAUGCCAAACUAUAGUGCAGAGUUGUGUGAAUGAAGGUGUCAUAUCCUCCACUGCUUCAAACAUUCACAGACAGGUUCAGUUCACUAAUGGACUAGAGUCCAAGUUUGACACGCACACUAAACCGUCAGUGUGCUCACACACAAAUUUCAGCAUUAAACCUCAAAGCGGGACGCAAAUCUGUGCUGACACAGAGUCAGAAUCAUCACCCUGUGAUUCACAUUCGCAUUCUGCACUGGUGACACACGCACAUAAACUCUCAGGGCCUCACGGUGAACCACGUCACGCAUCGAUACACACAGGCACUCCUUCGCCCACCGACACGCACAAGGAAGCUUCUUACACAUCCACACAGCGAACAAACACCAGUGGAACAUCACUGCAGGGUAUAUCCGUGCAUAAAGACGCACUGUCACAUCCUUAUCAUGAGUCAAAAAGCCAAAAUGACACUUGUUUGUUUUCACAUGCCCCAAAUAUGUCAACCCAUCACAAAGCAACACUUACUACACAAACAAUCAACCAUCAGAACCUCUCAAAUGCAUUUACCGCCAUGCAGACGGAGGUGGAGGUGCAUUCGUACACCAAAGAACGUUCUCAAGCAAGCCCUGGUGUCAAAGCAGCCUCGCGCGCUUUGUGUGUUCAUUUGAAAACGCCACGUAGGCAGACAGAGCCUACUUUCAGACGGUCUGUCCUGAAUCAGCUUAAUAAUGACACUCUUGAGUCCUCAUUACUAGCCAUCGCUUCCGCUAGGGCUUUUCCUCAAGCUACUACACACAACAGGACUGAAUUGAAAUCUUGGAGUGACACAGAGUCAAAGAAACAAACUGAUAUUAAGGCAGUGGAACCAGAAGGUCAAAUGACCAAUGGCUCACAACACUCGCUUCAACCUCCAAACAAACCACCUCCUUCUUGUCGACCUCCUAAACCUUCUUCUGCACCUCCACAAGCACCAGCUUUUAAAUUCGUAAAUGGGAACCUGAAUGUGACCUCCAAUCAAAACCCACUUUUGGAUCCCUCAGACACUUUGCCUACAGAGCACGCACAGAAAGACGGGAGUCUCCAGAACUCAAAGGCACAGAUGGAAUCUCGUUCUGAAGCGGUUGGCUCCAUCCCAAGUGAACGCUGUUCCAUAAUGCAUGACCAUCCGGAUUCUGCAGUAAGGUUGCUGCCUGCAUCCCCUAAAUGUGGCAGUCUGUGGGACCCUAAGUGUAGAUUAGAGAUGGUAGAGGCGAGUCUGCAGUCAAACAAGGAAAGAGUCACAACUCUGCUCAACGUCAUCCAGGACCUGGAGAUGAGCCAUGCAAUCAGCAAAGGGUGA
Long non-coding RNA from Sinocyclocheilus grahami, 2787 nucleotides. NCBI's taxonomy places the organism in Eukaryota, Metazoa, Chordata, Actinopteri, Cypriniformes, Cyprinidae. The record is from Ensembl.